This is a long non-coding RNA of Sinocyclocheilus grahami, 230 nucleotides long. RefSeq lists it as uncharacterized. The record is from RefSeq and is a predicted model, not a curated record. NCBI's taxonomy places the organism in Eukaryota, Metazoa, Chordata, Actinopteri, Cypriniformes, Cyprinidae. The transcript has 3 exons.
CUAUAGGAUUGGGCAAACAGACUGUCAACACAGUGGUAUAACCAAUCAAAUCCUCUCUUUUAGCCGGGAGGGCGGGACAUUUAGUGGAACGUGAAACUUAUUGCCGCUGCUCACUAAAACGACGCUAAUAAAACCGAUCGUGUCCAAAAUGGAGCACAGGGAACGGAAAGAAACAACACCGAUGUUCAUGACAAGACUUGGGUCACAGCUGAGAAAGCCACUUCACACAA